GAUGAACGCUGGCGGCGUGCCUAAUACAUGCAAGUCGAGCGAAUGGAUUAAGAGCUUGCUCUUAUGAAGUUAGCGGCGGACGGGUGAGUAACACGUGGGUAACCUGCCCAUAAGACUGGGAUAACUCCGGGAAACCGGGGCUAAUACCGGAUAACAUUUUGAACCGCAUGGUUCGAAAUUGAAAGGCGGCUUCGGCUGUCACUUAUGGAUGGACCCGCGUCGCAUUAGCUAGUUGGUGAGGUAACGGCUCACCAAGGCAACGAUGCGUAGCCGGCCGAGGGGGGUGAUCUGCCACACUGGGACUGAGACACGGCCCGGAAUCCUACGGGAGGCAGCAGUAGGGAAUCUUCCGCAAUGGACGAAAGUCUGACGGAGCAACGCCGCGUGAGUGAUGAAGGCUUUCGGGUCGGAAAACUCUGUUGUUAGGGAAGAACAAGUGCUAGUUGAAUAAGCUGGCACCUUGACGGUACCUAACCAGAAAGCCACGGCUAACUACGUGCCAGCAGCCGCCGUAA
RNAcentral lists this ribosomal RNA (515 nucleotides) under uncultured bacterium. Its description in RNAcentral is "partial 16S ribosomal RNA". It matches the Rfam family "Bacterial small subunit ribosomal RNA", at positions 28 to 523 of the family's 1533-position model. The record is from RNAcentral.